Molecule: long non-coding RNA, 600 nt
Filed under: Apteryx rowi (Okarito brown kiwi)
Lineage: Eukaryota; Metazoa; Chordata; Aves; Apterygiformes; Apterygidae
Description: lncRNA (ENSARWG00000010611.1)
Source: RNAcentral
GGAGAAUUGUCUUAGCAUAAAUCACAUUUCCAGAUGAUACACAAUCAGAUGCAUUAAGAAAGUUGGCCUAUCAGGUUAUCUUUGCAUUGUGUUUUGUCCUAUGAGUUUUAAGAUUACAAAUUACUAGAUUGGAGACCACCACCAUUUCAAGGAAACAAAGCUAAUAUAUGAAAAAAUACACAAUGAUUUAUAAUUUAAGGGCAGCACCUUGCAAUGUUCCGGCAAUAUAAUACUACAGUACUAUGCAGUAAUGUGCAUUUUUUUGCAUUUUUUUUUUUUCAAAAUUAAGGACAGAGAACACCCUGUUUUGAAUCACACUGAGGAGCUGAGCAUUAAAUUAACUUUCCUCAUAUGCAGCAGAUGAUAGGGAAAGACCAUGGAUUGCACUAACUUCAGGUAAAAAGAUCCUCUUGCAGAAGAACUUGAUUUGCACAAGUGAUGUGCGAUAAAACAGAAAUUUGAUGCAAUAUGCUGCUUGUUUCUGCAGCUGCUUCUCUGCAAAGGAAGCAACCGCAUCCAGGAUCCAGGAAGUCGUCAUUGACAACAGAAGGGCAAACGAGGAAUUUCUAAGGUGCCAGAAAAUGUGUGGCUUUAUAGAAG